This 643-nucleotide ribosomal RNA is filed under the name Trichoderma sp. RNAcentral describes it as "eukaryotic LSU rRNA". The stretch from base 254 to 407 matches the Rfam family "5.8S ribosomal RNA". Lineage: Eukaryota; Fungi; Ascomycota; Sordariomycetes; Hypocreales; Hypocreaceae. The record is from RNAcentral.
UCUUGGUCAUUUAGAGGAAGUAAAAGUCGUAACAAGGUCUCCGUUGGUGAACCAGCGGAGGGAUCAUUACCGAGUUUACAACUCCCAAACCCAAUGUGAACCAUACCAAACUGUUGCCUCGGCGGGGUCACGCCCCGGGUGCGUCGCAGCCCCGGAACCAGGCGCCCGCCGGAGGGACCAACCAAACUCUUUCUGUAGUCCCCUCGCGGACGUUAUUUCUUACAGCUCUGAGCAAAAAUUCAAAAUGAAUCAAAACUUUCAACAACGGAUCUCUUGGUUCUGGCAUCGAUGAAGAACGCAGCGAAAUGCGAUAAGUAAUGUGAAUUGCAGAAUUCAGUGAAUCAUCGAAUCUUUGAACGCACAUUGCGCCCGCCAGUAUUCUGGCGGGCAUGCCUGUCCGAGCGUCAUUUCAACCCUCGAACCCCUCCGGGGGGUCGGCGUUGGGGAUCGGGAACCCCUAAGACGGGAUCCCGGCCCCGAAAUACAGUGGCGGUCUCGCCGCAGCCUCUCAUGCGCAGUAGUUUGCACAACUCGCACCGGGAGCGCGGCGCGUCCACGUCCGUAAAACACCCAACUUCUGAAAUGUUGACCUCGGAUCAGGUAGGAAUACCCGCUGAACUUAAGCAUAUCAAUAAGCGGAGGA